This 1473-nucleotide ribosomal RNA is filed under the name uncultured bacterium. RNAcentral describes it as "bacterial SSU rRNA". It matches the Rfam family "Bacterial small subunit ribosomal RNA". The record is from RNAcentral.
AGAGUUUGAUCCUGGCUCAGCGCGAACGCUGGCGGCAUGGCUAAAACAUGCAAGUCGAACGCGAAUCCACCUUCGGGUGGUAGUAGAGUGGCGAACGGGCGAGUAACGCGUUUCUAACGUACCCCAAGGUCAGGGAUAGCUCACCGAAAGGUGUGGUAAUACCUGAUAACCCCAUCGAGUCGCAUGGCAUGAUGGGCAAAGGCUUGCUGCCCUGGGAUCGGGAAACGUAGUAUCAGGUUGUUGGUGGGGUAAUGGCCUACCAAGCCGAAGACGCUUAGCGGGUGUGAGAGCAUGACCCGCCGCAUCGGAACUGAGACACUGUCCGGACUCCUACGGGAGGCUGCAGUAACGAAUCUUCCGCAAUGUACGAAAGUAUGACGGAGCAAUGCCGCGUGCAGGAUGAAGCUCUUCGGAGUGUAAACUGCUGUCAGGGUUCAGGAAUCAAUGACCAGACCCAAAGGAAGGGCCGGCUAACUUCGUGCCAGCAGCCGCGGUAAUACGAAGGGCCCGAGCGUUGCGCGGAUUCAUUGGGCUUAAAGCGUACGUAGGCGGACUCGUAAGUGCCUUGUGAAAGCCCACGGCUCAACCGUGGAAUUGCAGGGCAUACUGCGGGUCUUGAGGCCGGUAGGGGUUGCCAGAACUCUAGGUGUAGCGGUGAAAUGCGUAGAUAUCUAGAGGAAUGCCGAUGGUGAAGACGGGCAACUGGGCCGGUACUGACGCUGAGGUACGAAAGCGUGGGGAGCAAACAGGAUUAGAUACCCUGGUAGUCCACGCCGUAAACGAUGUGCACUAGGUCCUGGAGGUUCUGACGCCAUCAGGGCCGAAGUAAAAACGAUAAGUGCACCGCCUGGGGAGUACGGUCGCAAGGCUAAAACUCAAAGGAAUUGACGGGGGCUCACACAAGCGGUGGAGCAUGUGGCUUAAUUCGAAGCAACGCGAAGAACCUUAUCCUGGGUUUGACAUGUAUGGAUUAACUCUGUGAAAGCAGAGCCACACUCUUUGAGUGGAACAUACACAGGUGCUGCAUGGCUGUCGUCAGCUCGUGCUGUGAAGUGUUGGGUUAAGUCCCUUAACGAGCGAAACCCUUAUCGUUAGUUGCCAUCAGGUUAUGCUGGGGACUCUAACGAGACUGCCGGUGUCAAACCGGAGGAAGGUGGGGAUGACGUCAAGUCCUCAUGGCCUUUAUGCCCAGGGCUGCACACGUGCUACAAUGGCGCGUACAAACCGAAGCGAUACCGCAAGGUGGAGCAAAUCGGAAAAAACGCGCCCCAGUUCGGAUUGUGGUCUGCAACUCGACCACAUGAAGUUGGAAUCGCUAGUAAUCGCGUAUCAGCUACGACGCGGUGAAUACGUUCCUGAGCCUUGUACACACCGCCCGUCAAGUCAUGGAAGCCGGGAGUACCCGAAGUCGUGCCGAUUCAGGCAUGCCUACGGUAAGCUCGGUGACUGGGACUAAGUCGUAACAAGGUAACC